GUUUAUAAGGCCCUACAUUUUGAAUGAGAAGACACCUGAACUUUCUGAAGACUAUUUUAGGAAGGCAGAGGUCAUCUUCUCUCUGCUGACUUCGAACUGCAGUGAGACCACCAGAGCACCACCAUUGUCCAGGUCAUCAUGGGAGUUAUGACUGUAUAUGUUCUUCUCUGCGUCCUCUUCACCUUCCUGGGGACUGAGGGAGGUCUCCACCAGGGUAUCUGCGAUUAGCUGCACCAGUGGAGAGAUUUGCCAGAAGGCCCCCACCAUGGCCAAAUCAGAACCCAUGUCCUCCAGGGUUUUCUCGACCCAACCGUUACUUGCGAACAUGCUAGCUUUUCGACAACAGCUAUUCCUUAUUCCUGGAGUACUCUAAUUUCAUAUUUAUUUUUAUUAGUCAAGGACCUUAGGUACUACUGACCACCAAGUAGAUGCUGACGUUGACUUUUCCCUUUUCUCCCUGACAGUCUGGAUUUCCCCAGAAGAACUGGAUGAGAGGUUCUCAGCGUAACAUGAAUGGACAGAGUGAGGACUGCUUGGCACUGCUGAAAAUCAAUGGUGAAGCAGGCUUUGAUGACAUGAGCUGUUCCGGAAUCGUCACCUCUGCCAAAACUCUCUGCAAGAUUCAUACUUCAAUGGACUGACUUUCGUAGGAGUCCAAACAGAGAGUGGAAAAGGGGUUUUGCCAACUCUCUGAUUUUCUUUUUCUAGUAUCGCACAAAAUUGUUCUGAGUUUGAUUUAAGUUGAGUACAAUAUAAUGAAAGGUGACGCAAUGGCUACAGAUACAUACACAAUGAUACAUUGAUUCAAUUGUAUUUUUGAAAGCAGAGUAAACACUUGAGUAAACAAGGGAUACAAAGAAUAUUUGAAAGCACGUGCUUCCACACAGGUGUGGUUCCUGAGUUAAUUAAGCAAUUAACAUCCCAUCAUGGUUAGGGUCAUGUAUAAAAUGCUGGGCAGGCCAUUAUUUUGGCUACCAUGGUUAUGCCCCCAUAGAAUCCACAGGGCACGAAUGGUCACUGAAUCGUUUGAUGAACAUGAAAUCGAUAUAAACCAUAUGUCAUGGCCGUCUCAGUCAAUAGAUCUCAACGCAACUGAACACUUAUUGGAGAUUUGGGAGCGUUGCCUGAGUCAGCAUUUUCCACCACCAUCAACAAAACACAAACUGAUGUAAAUUCUCGUGGAAGAAUGAUUUCGCAUCCCUCCAAUAGAGUUCCAGACACUUGUAGAAUCUAUGCCAAGGUGCAUUGAAGCUCAUGAUUGCUCGUGGUGGUCCAACACCCUGUUAAGAUACUUUAUGUAGGUGUUUCCUUUACUUGGACAGUUACCUUUCAAUACAUAAUGAUACUUUGAUUCAAUUAUAUUUUGGGUGGUCUUUUUUUUAUUGAAAAUUAUUGUCAGGUUUUGCAAUGGAAUUGUCCCUAUACAGAUGUGGCAUCUGAAUUUGAUCAUUAUUUUCUUGCUGAGGAAAUGCAACUUGUUGUGCAUACAAGGUUUUUAAAGGCUUUUAAAAUUUGCAAUUUCCAUUUUAAAAUGUCAGACUUGAUUAGCCCUAAAAAAUAUGUAUCAACCCCUACAAAAAAUGGCCAUGAAUUAUAAUCCACAUAAUAAUUCACAUUUCCUGUUGCUUCAGGAUCAUUUUCUGUAACAUACUGUAACAUACUGGCUCAAAUUAAGAUCUUACAUCAGUGUCACGUUCUGACCAGUAAAGGGGUUAUUUGUUAUUGUAGUUUGGUCAGGAUGUGGCAGGGGGUAUUUGUUUUAUGUGGUUCGGGGUGUGUGUUUAUGUAGAGGGGUGUUUGGUUAGUGUUUUCCGGGUUUUUGGGGCUAUGUUCUAGUCUAGUCUUUUUAGUUCUAUGUUUAGUUAAUUGAUUUGGCCUUCAAUUGGAGGCAGCUGCUCCACAUUGCCUCUGAUUGAAGGUCCUAUAUAGAGGGGUGUGUUUUGUAUGGGUUUUGUGGGAAGUUGUGAUUGCAUAGCUGUGUUUAGCCUGUAAUCCUGUUCGUUCGUACGUUUUGUUUUCUUAAGUGUUCAAAAUAAAUAUAUAAUGAGCACUCAA
This is a long non-coding RNA of Salmo salar (Atlantic salmon), 2055 nucleotides long. RefSeq lists it as uncharacterized. The record is from RefSeq and is a predicted model, not a curated record. NCBI's taxonomy places the organism in Eukaryota, Metazoa, Chordata, Actinopteri, Salmoniformes, Salmonidae.